CGAGGUGCAAGCGUUAUCCGGAUUCGACUGGGUUAAAGGGUGUGUAGCGGGUCUGUAAGUCAGUGGUGAAAUCUCCGAGCUCAACUUGGAAACUGCCAUUGAUACUAUAGGUCUUGAAUUUUGUUGAGGUAGCGGAAUAUGUCAUGUAGCGGUGAAAUGCUUAGAUAUGACAUAGAACACCGAUUGCGAAGGCAGCUUACUAAGCAAAUAUUGACGCUGAGGCACGAAAGCGUGGGGAUCAAACAGGAUUAGAUACCCUGGUAGUCCACGCCCUAAACGAUGAUUACUCGACAUACGCGAUACACAGUGUGUGUCUGAGCGAAAGCAUUAAGUAAUCCACCUGGGAAGUACGACCGCAAGGUUG
RNAcentral lists this ribosomal RNA (364 nucleotides) under uncultured organism. RNAcentral's name for it is "bacterial SSU rRNA". It matches the Rfam family "Bacterial small subunit ribosomal RNA", at positions 528 to 896 of the family's 1533-position model. The record is from RNAcentral.